Molecule: long non-coding RNA, 1018 nt
Organism: Archocentrus centrarchus (flier cichlid)
Lineage: Eukaryota; Metazoa; Chordata; Actinopteri; Cichliformes; Cichlidae
Exons: 3
Source: RefSeq, a predicted model, not a curated record
GUCAGUAACUGAUGUCAUCAUACUGACUUUGUGUGGGUAUAAAAACUGGCUGGUUUAAAAAGCAAACAUUUUAAUUCUGUGAGCAUCACAGAUUCUGGCACUGAAGUGAAGACAAGUCAACACAGGACAAAACAUCACCUUUCCACAAUGAUGACCAAGACCUGCAUCAUCCUUCUUCUGUUUGUGGGAACAGGGGUAAAAACCUCCACAGGAACAAAUACCACAGAAACAGGAGCAACAACCUCCACAGGAGCAAAUACCACAGAAACAGGAGCAACAACCUCCACAGGAGCAAAUACCACAGAAACAGGAGCAACAACCUCCACGGGAGCAAUACCACAGCAACAGGGGCAACAACCUCCACAGGAGCAAAUACCACAGAAGCAGGAGUAACAACCUCCACAGGAGCAAAUACCACAGCAACAGGGGCAACAACCUCCACAGGAGCAAAUACCACAGCAACAGGGGCAACAACCUCCACAGGAGCAAAUACCACAGCAACAGGGGCAACAACCUCCACAGGAGCAUAUACCACAGCAACAGGGGCAACAAUCUCACUAGCCAAUACAGUCAUUAAAAUAAGCUUAAUUUCUCUCACAGUGACCAUCAUAGCUGAUGCUCUUCUUUAAAGAGCAACGUGUGUUAUUGUUCAUGGGGUAUACAGAUUAUUCACAUUUCUUACUCAUUAUAUCAUUCCCAGUCUUAUUGUGUAUUUAUCUGUAUAUUUUUCAUGUUACAUCAAAGUAAGGAAUUGUCCACAAAGGCAAGGAAUGACAAAUAAAAGUGUGAUCUAUAUUUCCUCUCAUUAUUCAGCAACAGUGGCAAAUGUAUCUUAUAUUCUCAUAACUUCUGCAUAGGUGUAAAUUACCUUUUUUGCUGUGUACAUGCUCAAAAGGAUGCCCGAAUUAGAUGAACUAUACUGGAGAGGGACAUUCUUUAAAUGAAAUGUUCAAGAUAGAAGGGAAAUUGUUUUUUUUUUAAAUAGCAAAUUCUUGUAACUGUUGGAUGUUUUGUAAGA